CCCGCACCCCACGAUUUCUUCCCACCAACCCCGACCUGCCUCCUCCUCCUCCGGCGCACCCCACCUCCAUCUGCCACGAUUCCCCUUCCCCCGAUCCCCUUUCUGCCUCACUAGCGCCGCCCUCCAUCGAUCCACCUUCUUCCCCGGUCCGCGCCACCCUCCCCCCAUCCACCUUCUUCCCCGCCUGUACCUCCCUCCCCCAAUCCACCUUGUUCCCACGACCUCCCCCGAUCCACCUUCUUCCCCCCUCGGCGCCGCCCCACCCAUAUUCGGCUUCUUCCCCCGACGGCGCCGCACUUGGCCGCACCUUUCCCUUAGCCUGGUCUCGCAUCGCCCCUGCCCGGUGUCACCCAUCCCCCACCCCUGGAUCCGCAGCUCAUCCUCCAUCUGGAUCAAGCCGGCGCCGCCGGACCACUUCUCUUGGCCUACCUCCCCUCCGCUUCUGCCACGGGGACGGCGACCGGCCGUAGCAACGACGGGCUCUGCCUAUCUGGCUUUCCAUCUGCAGCCGAGGCACACCUCCUCCCCUGCGCAGCCGAGGUGCUCCCUUCCUCCACCCUGCUUCCUCGUCGCUGCAGAAUUGACAAAGCACCAGGUAGCCGUGGAGUUUUCUACUUUGUUGAAUUCCUUCCUAGUUCCUUUCUUGCAGUGCAGUCGCUCCGCCCCCUGUUUCCAUCCCUGCACCGCGUCGCCCAGGCUUCCUACAUCGUGCCCAACGACGGGGUCCUGGCCACAUCCUUGCCGCCGGUUUCUUCCUCGAGCGUGUUGGCCAUGGGAUCCGACCGGCCCCUUCUUGGCUCCCCUCAUCCUCGUCCUCGAAUCGCGCAGCGGCCUCCACCUCACCUAUGAUCCCUCCGCCGACGAGGGGUUCCUACACCAACGGCCUCCCAGAGCGCUGAAAGAAAACCAUGAAGUUCGUCCCGCACAUCCAGUGCAUCUCUUUCGAAGCUCCCGUGCAGUGCGCAUGUGUGUUGCAGUGCAGUGCGUGACGGCAAGAAAAGGGAGCUUGUCAGCGACGAGGGACGCAUCGGCGGCGCUGUGCAGUUUGCCGGCGCAUUCCGCGGAUGCAUGCGAGGGGAGUCAAAUGGGGGCACCGAUGCCCCAUGGAAGAGCAGUAGCGGCGCUUUGCAGUUUAGAACAAUGUUCGCUACUGUGAUGCGUGGUGUUUGAUUUCAUUUUUCAAACUUGCUCACCGGGUUCCUAACAGGAGGACCACACUAAGACGUUUCUGCAGCACACCCACUUGCAGUUCAGUCGGCGAGAGGGUUGAGGGCCACCAGGAGGCAGACGGCGAGCCAGCCGCAGCGUUCACUACUGCUCGGCGGCAACGAUUUAUGCAUCAGUGUGGCCUUGAAGUUCACCGGCGAUCCACUAGCGGUUGGAGCAGCAAGGGCAUGCAGUCCACUAUUUCCUUUUUUUGUUUGUCUUUUGACGUGGUCUUGGCCGAGGACACAGUGCCUUUUCUUUUGCAGUCAUUUGCUUGUAUUAGCACAAACUAGGAUUCACUAAUAUGGUCAGUUUUGGUUUA
Long non-coding RNA from Triticum aestivum (bread wheat), 1528 nucleotides. RefSeq lists it as uncharacterized. The transcript is spliced from 2 exons. NCBI's taxonomy places the organism in Eukaryota, Viridiplantae, Streptophyta, Magnoliopsida, Poales, Poaceae. The record is from RefSeq and is a predicted model, not a curated record.